GAUUUCUGGCUUGAAACAUUUGGCCCGCCACGGUUUCGUGUGUUAGUGCUUUGUGUUCUGGCCAUCCUUCCAAUGGCUGCGCGUGCGUCCUUCAUUGGGCGCGCGUGCGGUGUUGGAUCUUUUACUUUGAAAAAAUUAGAGUGUUUCAAGCAGGCUUUAUGCUAUGAAUACAUUAGCAUGGAAUAAUAAUUUAGGACUUCGGUUCUAUUUUGUUGGUUUCUAGGACUGAAGUAAUGAUUGAUAGGGAUAGUUGGGGGUGCUAGUAUUCAGCGGCCAGAGGUGAAAUUCUCGGAUUCGCUGAAGACUAACUUAUGCGAAAGCAUU
RNAcentral lists this ribosomal RNA (324 nucleotides) under uncultured Sandonidae. RNAcentral's name for it is "SSU rRNA". The stretch from base 114 to 324 matches the Rfam family "Eukaryotic small subunit ribosomal RNA", at positions 744 to 955 of the family's 1831-position model. Lineage: Eukaryota; Cercozoa; Glissomonadida; Viridiraptoridae. The record is from RNAcentral.